Molecule: ribosomal RNA, 495 nt
Filed under: uncultured bacterium
Lineage: Bacteria
Description: partial 16S ribosomal RNA
Rfam family: Bacterial small subunit ribosomal RNA
Source: RNAcentral
GACGAACGCUGGCGGCGUGCCUAAUACAUGCAAGUAGAACGCUGAAGGAGGAGCUUGCUUCUCCGGAUGAGUUGCGAACGGGUGAGUAACGCGUAGGUAACCUGCCUGGUAGCGGGGGAUAACUAUUGGAAACGAUAGCUAAUACCGCAUAAGAGUAGAUGUUGCAUGACAUUUGCUUAAAAGGUGCAAUUGCAUCACUACCAGAUGGACCUGCGUUGUAUUAGCUAGUUGGUGAGGUAACGGCUCACCAAGGCGACGAUACAUAGCCGACCUGAGAGGGUGAUCGGCCACACUGGGACUGAGACACGGCCCAGACUCCUACGGGAGGCAGCAGUAGGGAAUCUUCGGCAAUGGACGGAAGUCUGACCGAGCAACGCCGCGGGAGUGAAGAAGGUUUUCGGAUCGUAAAGCUCUGUUGUAAGAGAAGAACGAGUGUGAGAGUGGAAAGUUCACACUGUGACGGUAGCUUACCAGAAAGGGACGGCUAACUACGUG